AAGUCGUAACAAGGUUUCCGUAGGUGAACCUGCGGAAGGAUCAUUAACGAGGUUUAAUCGGCCUGUGCUGGCACGUGUAGUGCAUGUGCACGGUCGUUCUUCUUCUAUCAACCCCUGUGCACUUCAUUUGGAAUCGGAGGGAAGCGCGUCGCGAGAGAUUAGCGUAGUACUUGUGAGUCCUCUCUGGACUCACAGAGAAAGGUUAAGCUGUCAAUCGUCGCGUGGUACUUUCGCUUCUGAACAUCCUUUAUAAACCACCAAUGUAGUCCAGUCAGAACGUUCAGUCCUACGGGACGCUAAAUGUUAAUACAACUUUCAACAACGGAUCUCUUGGCUCUC
Molecule: unclassified non-coding RNA, 339 nt
Filed under: air metagenome
Description: partial contains small subunit ribosomal RNA, internal transcribed spacer 1, and 5.8S ribosomal RNA
Rfam family: Eukaryotic small subunit ribosomal RNA (bases 1-46)
Source: RNAcentral